This 431-nucleotide ribosomal RNA is filed under the name Cambarus reburrus. RNAcentral's name for it is "partial 16S ribosomal RNA". The stretch from base 80 to 431 matches the Rfam family "Bacterial large subunit ribosomal RNA", at positions 2048 to 2613 of the family's 2925-position model. Lineage: Eukaryota; Metazoa; Arthropoda; Malacostraca; Decapoda; Cambaridae. The record is from RNAcentral.
AUUAGUUUUUUAAUUGAAGGCUAGAAUGAAUGGUUGGACAAGAAAUAAUCUGUCUCUGGUUAAUAUAUUGAAUUUAACUUUUAAGUGAAAAGGCUUAAAUGAUUUGAAGGGACGAUAAGACCCUAUAAAACUUUAUAUUUGGAAGUGAUGGGUAAGUUUUGUUUGCCGGUUAUUAUUUUAAAGUAUUUGGUUGGGGUGACAAGGAUAAAAAAAAGUAACUGUUCUUUAUUUUUUACAAUAAUGUUUGGUAUAAUGAUCCUAAUAUGGAUUAAAAGAUUAAGUUACUUUAGGGAUAACAGCGUAAUUUUCUUUGAGAGUUCUUAUCGAUAAGAGAGUUUGCGACCUCGAUGUUGAAUUAAAGGUUCUUUAUGGAGUAGAGACUGUAAGAGAAGGUCUGUUCGACCUUUAAAUCUUUACAUGAUUUGAGUUCA